RNAcentral lists this long non-coding RNA (3328 nucleotides) under Vitis vinifera (wine grape). RNAcentral describes it as "long non-coding RNA (VVIN_LNC004797)". The record is from RNAcentral. Lineage: Eukaryota; Viridiplantae; Streptophyta; Magnoliopsida; Vitales; Vitaceae.
GUAGUUUCGCAACCCUUAAAGUAAGUUUCAUAUGUUGCCCACCCUCGGGCCUACCAUAUUUUAGCCAAUUCGUUGGAGUUCAUUCUUCAAUGACAUUGACAAUCAAUCACUACCAAAAAAGAGGAGAGAACGUUUUUACAAAAGUUUUUAUUUGAAUAACAAAAUCAUGGUUGAAAUGGUUGACGAAGUCACGAAGGGAAGAGACUUCACCCUUCUUACGUGUUCCAAUUCUCAAUAAAUAAAUAAAUUGAUAUUUUUAUUAAGUCUUUGUCAAUGAUGUCUUCACCAUAUUUUGGGACAAGUUAGACUUUCAUAUUUAUUCUCACUCUAAGCAAAAAUAAAUAAAAGAUUACACAAAUGGUAGGAUCCAAAAUAAAAUAAUAAAACAGAUACAUAAAAUCAUGAAGAAGAUGUACAAAAUCAGUGCAUAAUGAUAAGGAUUAACUCUUAUCAAUAUUUUUAAAAUAAAGAAUAAUUAAAUAUUAAUAAUAUUUGAUUCUUUUAAUUUGAAAGAUAAUAUUUAUUUUUCUUAAUUCUCGUUAAUUUUAGAAUAUUUUUUAUUAAUUUUUAUGUAUAAUUUAUAAUAUAUUCUUGUAUAAAGUUUUUUUUUUAAAAAAAAUAUUUUUAUUUUCAAAUUAUCAUACCCUUUUUUUUUUUGUGAGAAAUUGUUGCUAUCCUGAAACUUUUUAUUAUUAUUUACAUAUAAUCUCUUAUCUAUAUUUUCAACCACCAAAUUCACCUCAAUCCUUUUUGUUUUUCUAGAAAAUUAAAAAAGAGAAAAUAGAACUUCAUUACCUGAAAAUACCAGCAUAUCACAUUCCCAAUCCCCCCUAAAGCAUCUUUAGAAAAUUGGCCAACUUUAACAAAGUAGGGAUUACCUUUUUCUUUUUCUUUUUUAUACGCCAUAAAAUGAGCUUGCUUUGUCGCUUUCAAUCCUUUUCCUUCCUCCACUUCCUCUCAUUUUCCUUUUUAAUGACUUUCAUAGCAGCCGCCCAUCCCAUUUUCUCAUCCGCGUGAAAGGAUGGACCAUCGGCAUUCACACAGCGACUUCGCUUGUCUAUAUCCUAUUGACUUUUAAGUCAACAAAAAGACGGGUAGAAGCUACUCUACUCAUUUUAUAAAAAUUCCAUUCCAGAAUAAUGGUUAAAAAUUCCCAUUUUCAACUUAUUUUUUAAAACUCCAAUUCCUAAAUUUAAUUCUCAAAUAUUUUUAAAAUUUUAAUUUCUUUCAAAUUUAAUUUUCAAAACUCCAAUUCUUAAAUUUAAUUUUCAAAAUUUCAACUCUCAAUUAUUUUUCAAAACUCUAAUUUCUUUCAAAUUUAAUUUCCAAAAUUCUAAUUCUCAAAUAAUCUUCAAAAUUCCAAUUUUUUUCAAAUUUAACUUCCAAAAUUCCAAAUCUUAAAUUUAAUUUUCAAAACUCCACUUUUCAAAUAAUUUUCGAGAUUCCAAUUUUCAAAUAUUUUUUUAUUUCAUUCUUUAAAUGUAAUUUUUAAAAGAUUUCAAUUUUCAAAGCUCCAAUUUUAUUUCAAAUAGUUUUAAUUUCGCGCCAUUUUUAAAAUAUUUUUUAAAUCAUAAAUUUUCUUUAAUUUUUAAAUAAUCUUUUGUUUUCCUUGAUUUUUAUUUUAAUAAGCAUGAUUGAAUUUUUCAUAAUUCCAAAAUAAUGGAAUUUGUGAGAUUAAUUCAUGCAAAAUCAAUUAGGCUUUGGUGAUGCCUCACAUAUGAAUUUUCUCUUAUGAUUGUCUAUUGUUAUGUUUAAUGAAUUUUGCUUGAUCUUUGUCCUACUCUUUGAUAUGCAUGUGAUGAUAUAACCCCGUUUCCAUGAUAGCGCACUAUUGCAAUCAAGGUACGCUCCCACUCCCACUUUGCUUACUCUUACGCGUGAUUUGUUUUAUUAUUUGAUCAUUUCAUUGGUAUCUAUUGAUUUCCUUAUCAAUUGUGUCAUGAUUGUCUCGCCUUAUUUAGUAGAGACACAUUUCUAAGAGUUUAGAGGGGUGCUACGGUUUUUACCGUACCUUCUCAAUAAGUAAUUUGACCUCUGAACUCAGACUUGAUUUUUCACGAGCCACAUUUUUUAAAUAAGAAGUCACACUUAAGAUUUUUUUUCUUAUUUUGUUUAUCCUUAAAAAAUAAAAUAAAAAUAAGUGGCGACUCCAAGUCAUUUUCUAAAAUAAGGAGUCACACUCAGAGUUUUCUUCUUUAUUUUGUUUACCCUUUAAAAAUAAAACAAAAAUAAGGGACGACUUUAAGUCAUUUUAUAAAAAAAUAAAUCUUUUUCAAAAUAAAAAGCUAGUUUUCCAAAUAGAGGGUCCACACCAUUAUAAUUUUUCAAAUAUUUUUAUCCUAUUAUAUUUUAUUCUACUUUUUUUUUUUUUUUCUAAUUUUCUAUUUUUAAAAUUUUUUAUUAAGGAAAAAAAAAAAAGACACAAAAUGACAAUGCUCAAAAGAGAAUAAUGAAUGAGAUGCACAAAAUCAAACGAAUAAUGAUAGGAAUCAAUUAUAGGAUAUUUAUUAUUCGUUUCUGUGUAUAAUUUACCAAACAUUCUUAUAUAAAUUUUUUAAAAAAGAAUUACCAUAAUCAAUUAUCAAACAUUUCCUACAUUUCAUAGUAUCAUAGGUAGAUAAUAUCAAAAGGUAGGAGAGGAUUGACAUACUCUCACCAACCAUGUCUUCCUCUUGAAAAAAAAGGUAAUAACAUUACUAUCCAAGUCUUCCAUUAAUGUUCUAGGUUGAUUCAAUUAAACUAAUUAUAAAUCAAGACAAAGUACACCAAUUUGCUUAUGACUUUAGUUAAAUGUAUUUUUUUUUUUUCAUUUAUUAUGCUUACUAUGAUGGGGGAGCCAAACAGUACCCAAAAUUUUGAGAAAACUAACUUACUACCACUAGGUUAUAUAAGUAGUUUGUUGUAGUUUUGCAACCCUUGAAGUAAGUUUCAUAUGUUGCCCACCCCCGGGCCUACCAUUUUUUAGCCAAUUCGUUGGAGUUCAUUCUUCAAUGACAUUGACAAUCAAUCACUACCAAAAAGGAGGAACACGCAAAAGUUUUUAUUUGAAUAACAAAAUCAUGGUUGAAAUGGUUGACGAAGGGAAGAGACUUCACCCUUCUUACGUGUUCCAAUUCUCAAUAAAUAAAUAAAUUGAUAUUUUUAUUAAGUCUCUGUCAAUGAUGUUUUCACCAUAUUUUGGGACAAGUUAGACAUUCAUAUUUAUUCUCACUCUAAGCAUGAAGUGGUAUAUUAAGCAAAAAAUAAAAAUAAAAGAUGACAAAAAUGGUAGGAUCCAAAAUGAAAUAAUAAAACAGAUACACAAAAUCAGUGCAUAAUGAUAAGAAUU